RNAcentral lists this ribosomal RNA (526 nucleotides) under uncultured eukaryote. RNAcentral's name for it is "partial 18S ribosomal RNA". It matches the Rfam family "Eukaryotic small subunit ribosomal RNA", at positions 564 to 959 of the family's 1831-position model. The record is from RNAcentral.
GUGCCAGCAGCCGCGGUAACACCAGCUGCACAAGUGUAUAUUAAAGUUGUUGCAGUUAAAAAGCUCGUAGUUGGAUAUCUGUCUUAACUGACCUGGCCUUAGGUCCUUCGGGAUUCUUAUGUGCCGGUUGUGGCGACCACUACUAUGUGGUGUGUUGCCCGUCAUGUUGGACAUACUUCAGGAGAACUAUCCUGCCAUUUAUUGGUUGGGGUAAGGAUCCUGAUCGUUUACUUCGAAAAAUUAGAGUGUUUAACGCAGGCUUUUAGUGUCGCGAAUAGAUUAGCAUGGAAUAAUAAGAUAGGACUUCGGCAUCGUUAGUGGGUACCUUUGAGUGUGCCCUGCUCGUGGUCUUUGACUGCGUUGCUUGGUGCUUUCUUUUGGAAUCAUAUCUGCUAGCCAUUCUAUUUUGUUGGUUUCUAGAGCUGAAGUAAUGAUUGAUAGGGAUAGUUGGGGGAUGCUCGUAUUGCCGGGCCAGAGGUGAAAUUCUCGGGUUCUGGUAAGACGAACUUAUGCGAAAGCAUUCACC